RNAcentral lists this ribosomal RNA (434 nucleotides) under uncultured Pseudobutyrivibrio sp. Its description in RNAcentral is "partial 16S ribosomal RNA". It matches the Rfam family "Bacterial small subunit ribosomal RNA", at positions 341 to 792 of the family's 1533-position model. The record is from RNAcentral. Lineage: Bacteria; Bacillati; Bacillota; Clostridia; Lachnospirales; Lachnospiraceae.
ACGGGAGGCAGUAGUGGGGAAUAUUGCACAAUGGGAGAAAGCCUGAUGCAGCGACGCCGCGUGAGCGAAGAAGUAUUUCGGUAUGUAAAGCUCUAUCAGCAGGGAAGAUAAUGACGGUACCUGACUAAGAAGCACCGGCUAAAUACGUGCCAGCAGCCGCGGUAAUAAGUAUGGUGCAAGCGUUAUCCGGAUUUACUGGGUGUAAAGGGAGCGUAGGCGGUUUUACAAGUCUGAUGUGAAAGCCCGGGGCUCAACUCCGGUAUUGCAUUGGAAACUGUAGAACUAGAGUGUCGGAGGGGUAAGUGGAAUUCCUAGUGUAGCGGUGAAAUGCGUAGAUAUUAGGAGGAACACCAGUGGCGAAGGCGGCUUACUGGACGAUUACUGACGCUGAGGCUCGAAAGCGAGGGGAGCAAACAGGAUUAGAUACCCUGGUA